CGGGAGGCAGCAGUAGGGAAUCUUCCGCAAUGGACGAAAGUCUGACGGAGCAACGCCGCGUGAACGAAGAAGGCCUUCGGGUCGUAAAGUUCUGUUGUUAGGGAAGAACAAGUACCAGAGUAACUGCUGGUACCUUGACGGUACCUAACCAGAAAGCCACGGCUAACUACGUGCCAGCAGCCGCGGUAAUACGUAGGUGGCAAGCGUUGUCCGGAAUUAUUGGGCGUAAAGCGCGCGCAGGUGGUUCUUUAAGUCUGAUGUGAAAGCCCACGGCUCAACCGUGGAGGGUCAUUGGAAACUGGGGAACUUGAGUGCAGAAGAGGAAAGUGGAAUUCCAAGUGUAGCGGUGAAAUGCGUAGAGAUUUGGAGGAACACCAGUGGCGAAGGCGACUUUCUGGUCUGUAACUGACACUGAGGCGCGAAAGCGUGGGGAGCAAACAGGAUUAGAUACCCUGGUAGUCCACGCCGUAAACGAUGAGUGCU
This 483-nucleotide ribosomal RNA is filed under the name Bacillus sp. IM4. RNAcentral describes it as "bacterial SSU rRNA". It matches the Rfam family "Bacterial small subunit ribosomal RNA", at positions 342 to 817 of the family's 1533-position model. The record is from RNAcentral. Lineage: Bacteria; Bacillati; Bacillota; Bacilli; Caryophanales; Bacillaceae.